AUAUCACCCAUGUUGUCUGAUGCAUUUGACCAGGUAAUCCAGCCAACAGAGGCCUCUUGAGGAAGCGACAGUGUGACAUUUGACAUUUCAAGUUCUACCAGUGGACUUUCAGCGGGAGUGACAGAGCAAGGCUAAGUGCAUAGUUUAUUCCAAACUUCAGUUUUAUUGUUAACUUGCCAAUACUGUGAAGAACUUACCGCCUUGGUACACAGAAUGCAAGUAACCCCCAUUAAUGUAGAUGCCUGUGAACACCAAUGGAGAACAUCUGAUCCAUUGGAGUUGAAGUUAGAACUACGUGCUCUUAAUGACUGCACCAUCUCUCUGGUCCUAUCUUAUUCUUCUCUGACAGACACCAGAUGGACAUUCAUCAAUGCAUAAAUGCAAAGUGCACCUUAUAAAUCCAAUGACCUUAUCCUCUUCCUCCUCAGCAAGAG
RNAcentral lists this long non-coding RNA (434 nucleotides) under Mus spicilegus (steppe mouse). RNAcentral's name for it is "lncRNA (ENSMSIG00000009256.1)". Lineage: Eukaryota; Metazoa; Chordata; Mammalia; Rodentia; Muridae. The record is from RNAcentral.